Molecule: ribosomal RNA, 253 nt
Filed under: uncultured bacterium
Lineage: Bacteria
Description: partial 16S ribosomal RNA
Rfam family: Bacterial small subunit ribosomal RNA
Source: RNAcentral
UACAGAGGUCCCAAGCGUUACUGAGAAUUACUGGGUUUAAAGGGUGCGUAGGUGGCGCGUUAAGUCUGUUGUGAAAUCCCCGGGCUCAACCCGGGAAUCGCUUCGGAUACUAGCGCGCUUGAGGCCGGUAGAGGUCACUGGAACUGACGGUGGAGCGGUGAAAUGCGUAGAUAUCGUCAGGAACGCCUGUGGUGAAGACGGGUGACUGGGCCGGUUCUGACACUGAGGCACGAAAGCGUGGGGAGCGAACGGG